Non-coding RNA from Xyrichtys novacula (pearly razorfish), 5913 nucleotides. NCBI's taxonomy places the organism in Eukaryota, Metazoa, Chordata, Actinopteri, Labriformes, Labridae. The record is from the annotation of a GenBank genome assembly.
GCAUGUAUUUCAUUCCAAAACAAAAGUAUGUCUUCAGAUACAGGAAAUAAAGCAACAUAGAUGCAAGGCAGGAAGUUAAGCAUGAAAGCAUCAUAAUCAUUUUGUGAAGCAAUCUUUGCACCAAAGAAGUUCCCAUCACAGGGCUGUUAACACCAAAAAUUAAUGGUGACAUGUCAGAAAAGUUUAAGAAGUAGCCUGCCACUCCACCCUUGUCUUCCAUCCAUCCAUCCAUUUUCUACCGCUUAUUCCCGUUCCCGAGGUCGCAGGGGCUGGAGCCUAUCCCAGCAUCUUAAGGCGAAGGCAGGGGACACCCUGGACAAGUCGCCAGUUCAUCGCAGGGCUGACAUACAGAGACAAACAACCAUUCACACUCACACCUACGGGCAAUUUGAAAGUGGCCAGUUAACCUAACCCCACUUAGGCAUGUUAUUAAAAUGUGGGAGGAAACCAGAGUAACAUGCAAACUCCACAUAGAAACACCCUGAGCCAGAUUCGAACUAAAGACCUUCUUGCUGUGAGGUGACAGUGCGAACCACUACACCACUGUGCCUCCCACCCUUGUCUUGUCUUGUCUUAACUAAAUUUCACUAUCAUUGUGUUUUUCCAAAUGAUCCAUCAUGAUUGUGAUAAUAUCAUUAUUGGGAUUUUUGGGCCACAUUUAUUGUUAGGUGAAAAUAUACCAUGACAGCACCACUUAAAGUUUUAACUUUUUAAGUCUCCACUGGUGUCACCAAUAAGCUGUGAUGUGCAGAUACUGGCAGCUAUCUCGACAGCUGAGCAACUCAGGUCUAUGGCCCAAACUGUCAUCUUUCACCGUUGGUUAACAUUAUUCUUCUCAAUAGAUGUUUCAUUUACGUGAGCAUAAAAUUCCCUUAUAACAGGUCCACUUUUCUGUACGAUCUCUGUGUGUCUCUUUCCUGUGUGAAUCUGACGAAGCCCAUCAAGCAUACAGGGAGUUUGGGGAGUGUCUGCAGAAGAGAGGAGGAGGAGGAAGGAGCAAGCCGGGCGGAGGGGAGGAGGAGAGGGAUUUAGCGUGGCCUGUCGGAGGGCUAAUUCCUGUGCUGGCGUUGGAGCUCCUCAUAGCUCAGAUAUUCAGAUUUGGGCUGGGCUGCAAUGUGGGCUUGGAGAUACUCUGCAACCGGCUCCACCCCCCGCUCUAUUUAGGGCCUGCAAGGAGCCUCGGGAUGGCGUUAAAAAAGGAGAUUAAGUUUCCUCCGGAGAGCAAAGCUCCUUAAGGGGGUAUCUGUGUGCUUCUCAGCCGCCUGGUCAGUGAGGGAUGCGUGAGGGGGGCCUCGCCAUGAACUCCGCUGAGACAGUGGGGGGUGGGGGACACAUAAGAGGCGGGGGUGAGGGUGGCAGAGAAGCUGACCUGACUCCUACCCCAUGACUGGCAUGGCUCUGACCCUUUUUAUAGGCUCAAGCACUGAUAGCAAACUGAUUCAGUGCUUCGGGGGCUGGCAGAAAGCAAACACGGUGAUGGAUGGUAUCACCUGAGAGGAUUUCACUUUUGUUUGUCCGUUACACUUCCACAUAAUGUCAUUUCAGAGUAUGUCCCCGGGGUUUACUAAGCAUGACCGUGCAUAUGUGCUUUGGAGUGUGUGGUGGAGAUACAGUGUGCCUGUAUACAAGGAAAGCCUCAUUCACAGAGCUUAAUACUGGGCACCAGAUCUAAUGGAUGGCUGCUUAACACAUGGAAGUGGAAGGAAGUGAUGCUCAACCACACGUCUUUUUCUCUGUGAUUUUCUAAAUAUACUGUAACAACAUACAAACACAGACCAUGAGAAAUAAAUAUCAACACACGAACUGGAGAAACAGACAUUUUGUUGGAUCUGACUCCUGAAAAAGCAGUCCAAAAAGUGCCAUUCAAGGCGCCAAAGCAUCUAUUAAACUUUCGAUUUCAGAUCAUCACCUGACCAUUCAAAAGGCGGACUUAUAAGAGCAAAUCCCAGCCCAUGAAGUGUAUGAGUUAAAAUCUACCCUUCAAAAGGCUUUGAUACGUUUCUUUGAUUCAAGAAGAGCUGCAGCGUUAAGAGCAGAGCAGAGAAAAAAAAAACCCUUACACAUUCCUUUAUUUGAUUAGCAAUACUGAUGACAGGGUUGAAUGAGAAGCAGAAAAAACCUAAUGACUUCUUCAGCUUUGUGGCAGGGCUGGAAAAGCCUUAUCUGCUCAAUUCAGCAGCAGUCUCUCCUGGGAAGCGAGGAUCACUGUGCUGAGGGACUGUCAGGUCCUGCCAAUAGCCGUAAUGGGCCCUAAUUCCACAUUAAUGCAGUCUAAAUGAAGUGUCACGGGAAGAUUGAUCUGUUGAGGGCGUUGCCGUGAUGAAGGUUGUUAUACUGAGUGGGCACCUCACCGGACACCUGGUUACUCUCUGCAACACCCCCAGGGGCCUCCAUGUGGAGCCGGCAGACUGACCUGUCACACUCUGCAUGCAUAGAUCUGAGCGCACAUUCAAACAGUCUUAAACAUGCUUAAAGACUCUGGCUGAGUCCAAAUGUGAGGCUAAUUUUCAGUGAUUUCUGUGAAUAAAUGCCAGCAGGUGGAGGGAUGGAGAGGCUCUGUCUCUAAUGUUUUGAAGAUUGCCUCAUAUUUGCUUGGCUCCUUUUGAUGAAGGUACAUUUCUUGUCGUGUUCUGUUGUCUGACAGGUGCAUAGGCCGGAUAAUGCUGCCAGCUGGAGACUUUGCGGGGGGCUUAAACACAACCAGUCCUCCUACUGUACAUAUCUAAAACCCCAUUUUACUCCUUUCCAUUAGUAAUUCUUGUCCACAGAAAUGGAUUUUUACUCACUGUCAAGUUUAAACUGCGACUUUUCCUGUAUGGAGAGUAUUAGGCUAAUCACGCGGUAAUUCUGAUUUCUGUAUGCUUGUCAAAAACAUACAGAAAGAUGGGCAGCCACUUUUCACACUUUUUAUUUUAUGCUCUGCGUCGAAGGAUCAAUCCAGGUCAAAUGUGCAGAUUUUGUUAUUGGUUCACAAUAACUGCUUUUCAUAUGUACUAAUGUGUGCAUAAUAUAGUCAAAGUCAACUCUAUUGUCAAAUAUGCUAUACAUGUUAAACACACCGCACAGAUGAAAUUUCAGUCCUCUCAGACCCACGGGGCAUAAGAAUAAACUAUAAGAAUAAACCUAUAAAAGUUUAAAUAUGAGAAUAAACAAUUGAGCUAAACAAAAGACUAUCUUAAAUACUUUAUAUAUUAAAUUGUAUGUGAUUAUUAAAUGUUUGUUUUCAAGCUGUUGUCAUUAAUUUCAUGAUUUUUACCCACAUGACUUUUCAUACACACAAAAUACUCAAACUGCGAGUACAAUAUGAAAUGUGCAAACUUCUGACCACCGUAUUUGCACAACAUGUUUACGUGCACACAAGUGUAUUCUUAUCACACAUGGCAAGAGACAACAUACUCAACCACUUCACCAAAAAAAAUUGCACCCUUUACUGGACUUCAGGGGCUCUGCACAAACUUCGAACUGAUUUAGUGAUUAAAAUUAUAACCCAAAAGGCUUCCUCCAAGUCCUGACUGAUGCUUAAAUCACAGUCAUGCAAUCGAACAUUCAUCCGUAAAGUAAAGCUCAUAGUGAAGGACACGCUCCAGAACAUCGUCCAUGAUAUUUCAUGUACUUAUGGUUGCAGAGGAGGGUUGCAAUCAGUGCGUUAGCUGUAAAGUAACUGUGUAUGUCUGCAAUCACACACGAGCAAACAUGAUGCACGCUCUCCGUGUGUACCUCCGACAUGAGGAGCAGCAGGAUUCUGGAUGAGCCUCCCAGGUGACCCAGAAGAUGGCAGCAAGUGUGUCAGAGUCACUUUGAUUAACUCUAAUACCAGGGCUUUUGGCACAUGUGGUCAGGUUAAUGAAACUCAGUGAGAAGGCACUUUCUCCUGGUUCCCUCCCUGCCUGGAAGCUGUGGGUGAUGGGAUGAGGUUCAGUGAGUCGCUCCCUCUCUCCCUCAUCGGCCCCCCUCUCCACCGACAAGACGGUCUGAUACCUUCUUUAGGAAAUGAAGCUACUGAGAUAUAUUACUCUAUUACCUCUAUGUCCUUUUUCCUUUCAUAUUCUGUUGACUUUUUCCCUGUUAAUUAACACUCUUCUUAGGAUGUAAAAAGUCAAGUUUUAUGAGUCGAUGGAAAAGUACAAAAAUAAAGCUUCAAUGAUAUUCUUUCAAAAGGAAACAUCAAAUCUUUGGGGGGGUUUGCCAUCAAAGUGAUCUAUUGGUUUUCAAUUUUAUCUUAAGAAAUUAUGUGAAAGGACUUUUUUUUAUCAUUUGGGUGUAUUUCUGAAUGGGUCAGAUACCAGAAACAUCCAGGAGAAAAAAUCCACCCAUUGAAAAGCUUUCCCUGAACACAAAACUUUCUGUUAUGGUUUAUCAAAUGUUUGCCAAGGUUAUCAUGACACAGGCUCUUCAAACCCUCAAAGUGUUCCUCCUUGCUCUCUUUCUUCGCUGACACAGAAGUAGGGCACACCGGAGAAUAAGCACCACAAUUGGGAGGCACCCUGUCGCUUUAAGAGGGGUACCCAUCUAAUCUCUCCCGAUCCACUCAGGCCCUGGAUUUAUAAAUUUCCUGCAAUCUCGAUUCUUAAAGCUGUCUUGAUUUUGUGAGUGUGUGUGUCUGCUUGUGAGAGAGGAAGUGUAGGACUGGCAAGAGGUACUAUUGGGGGGGUUUGGUUUGUUUGUGCUGUCCUUUAGAAAAAGAGCUUACGGGUUCAGCAGUAGAAACGCUGGGAGCUAAUGUGAAGAUUUAGGACUUUCUCCGAGGCUUGGCCUCGUCUAAGCUCUGUUUGCUUGAGCCGUUUGUGGGGUCCUGCUCACACUAAACCCAGAUUAAUAUUCCCCCCAUAUCCAACCAGCCCAGACACCGUCUCCCGGCCUCACUGUCCUCCACCCCCCUCUCUCUUUUCCCUGCCUUUUCUGGCCGUGAUCGUCUCCCUUCCCUAAUCCAAGUCCGCUGCCUCUCAUCUUGCUCUUUAUCUCGUCUAAGUAAGCACCUUUCUCAUGGCUUCUUUCCAUAAGGAGGAAGCAGCAGGAGGAGCAUAAAUAUGUUUUCCUCAGGACCCCCUCAUUGCUCACUGACCUCUGUAAGGUGUUAUUAUCAGAGUGACUGCUAAACCCUCAGAUUGGUUUUAGCCAGGUUCACCAGGGGAGAGGACGGCUGGCUUUGAUGCCUCUGUAUUGGUUUACAUACAACUAAAUAGACACAGAAAGUACGGCAAUUAUUGUAUUAGGCAAAUAUUUCAGCCAUUAAAAUCCUAAAAUACUCUCUUCAUCUUAAUAUAUUUAAACAUAUUAUUAUUUCCUGUUGAUAUGUAGUGAAAGCAGCAGAAUUAAAGUCACUACAAAGACACAUUUUUCAAUAUAUUGUCCUAUAACACCAGUGAGAAAACUUCAGCUUCCUGCCACAUUUCUCUGCUGCUGCACUCCUAAACUCUCACGAGGUUGUCACACUGUGCCUCUUCUUCUUCUUCCCCCUUUUUUUUUGUGUUUUUCCUCCUUUUCUUGUUCCUUUUCUUCCUUUUGGAUCAAGGCUGAGAGAAGAAUAACAAAUGCAUUUUGAGCCAAGAGAAAAGGGGAUGAAUUUGGCGUGCUAAACAGGCAGGCUAAACCCAUUACCUAAGUGUUCUUUAUCUUCCCAUAUGCUUUUGUUGUUUAAUCAGCUUUGUAUCUCUCCAAAUCCGGGAUUGAGAUAACAAACAAAUGGAUGAGCUCAACAUGCAGAGGAGGAAAGCCUUUUUGCUGGCACCUUUAAUGCCAAAAAGACUAUCCUGAUGCUGCAAAGUGGUCAGGGGAAGGAGCGCAAAUGGGUCCGAUUCUUUGGGAUUUUUUAGACCAGGUCAAGCCUCCACUUUUCCCUAAAAUAACCUCAUAUACCUCCUCUCUGUUGUACGGGAAUGGACUGAGAGAGGGGGGAAGGGGGUAAAGCUGGAG